Molecule: ribosomal RNA, 595 nt
Filed under: uncultured bacterium
Lineage: Bacteria
Description: bacterial SSU rRNA
Rfam family: Bacterial small subunit ribosomal RNA
Source: RNAcentral
CCUACGGGAGGCAGCAGUGGGGAAUAUUGCACAAUGGGCGAAAGCCUGAUGCAGCGACGCCGCGUGAGGGAUGACGGCCUUCGGGUUGUAAACCUCUUUCAGCAGGGAAGAAGCGAGAGUGACGGUACCUGCAGAAGAAGCGCCGGCUAACUACGUGCCAGCAGCCGCGGUAAUACGUAGGGCGCAAGCGUUGUCCGGAAUUAUUGGGCGUAAAGAGCUCGUAGGCGGCUUGUUGCGUCGGUUGUGAAAGCCCGGGGCUUAACCCCGGGUCUGCAGUCGAUACGGGCAGGCUAGAGUGUGGUAGGGGAGAUCGGAAUUCCUGGUGUAGCGGUGAAAUGCGCAGAUAUCAGGAGGAACACCGGUGGCGAAGGCGGAUCUCUGGGCCAUUACUGACGCUGAGGAGCGAAAGCGUGGGGAGCGAACAGGAUUAGAUACCCUGGUAGUCCACGCCGUAAACGUUGGGAACUAGGUGUUGGCGACAUUCCACGUCGUCGGUGCCGCAGCUAACGCAUUAAGUUCCCGCCUGGGGAGUCGGCCGCAAGGCUAAAACUCAAAGGAAUUGACGGCNGAGAGNGCGACGCGACGACGAGGAGAG